Molecule: unclassified non-coding RNA, 378 nt
Filed under: uncultured Chlamydiales bacterium
Lineage: Bacteria; Pseudomonadati; Chlamydiota; Chlamydiia; Chlamydiales
Description: contains 16S-23S intergenic spacer region
Source: RNAcentral
UCCUGGUUAACCCAGGCAGUCUCACUAGAGUUCCCGACAUUACUCGCUGGCAACUAAUGAUAAGGGUUGCGCUCGUUGCGGGACUUAACCCAACACCUCACGGCACGAGCUGACGACAGCCAUGCAGCACCUGUUCAGCAGCCCUUGCGGGAAAUACUAUCUCUAAUAUCGUCUACUGUAUGUCAAGUCUGGGUAAGGUUCUUCGCGUUGCAUCGAAUUAAACCACAUGCUCCACUGCUUGUGCGGGCCCCCGUCAAUUCUUUUGAGUUUCACCCUUGCGAGUGUACUCCUCAGGCGGUAUACUUAUCGCGUUAGCUUCGACACAGUUAGGGUUGAGCCCAACUACAUCAAGUAUACAUCGUUUACAGCAAGGACUAC